RNAcentral lists this ribosomal RNA (472 nucleotides) under uncultured bacterium. Its description in RNAcentral is "bacterial SSU rRNA". It matches the Rfam family "Bacterial small subunit ribosomal RNA", at positions 355 to 825 of the family's 1533-position model. The record is from RNAcentral.
UCGGGAAUUUUGGGCAAUGGGCGCAACCCUGAUCCAGCCAUGCCGCGUGAGUGAAGAAGGCCUUCGGGUUGUAAAGCUCUUUCGGCGGGGACGAAACGGUCCGUGACAACACCACGGACUAAUGACAGUACUCGCAGAAGAAGCACCGGCUAACUACGUGCCAGCAGCCGCGGUAAUACGUAGGGUGCAGGCGUUAAUCGGAAUUACUGGGCGUAAAGCGUGCGCAGGCGGCUCCUUAAGUCAGAUGUGAAAUCCCCGGGCUUAACCUGGGAAUUGCAUUUGAGACUGCACGGCUAGAGUGUGUCAGAGGGGGGUAGAAUUCCACGUGUAGCAGUGAAAUGCGUAGAUAUGUGGAGGAAUACCGAUGGCGAAGGCAGCCCCCUGGGAUAACACUGACGCUCAUGCACGAAAGCGUGGGGAGCAAACAGGAUUAGAUACCCUUGUAGUCCCUGAGCGGGCUGGCAAGGCGCAU